Molecule: ribosomal RNA, 1226 nt
Filed under: metagenome
Description: SSU rRNA
Rfam family: Eukaryotic small subunit ribosomal RNA
Source: RNAcentral
AGGUUUCUUCCUACUAGAAUUCGAUUCUGUUCUUAAUUGAAUGGAAUAGUUAUCUCUUGGGGUAAUCAGUUGGUUAUUAUGUCUCCACUAAUAAACAGAGAGAGGUAAUACUUUUAAAGUAAGUUAUGUGGAUCAAGAUAUAGUGAUUAAUUGGAGUUCUAGUUCGUUUACUUUGAGAAAAUUAGAGUGUUUAAAGCAGCCUCUUGGGGCUCUGAAUACAUUAGCAUGGGAUAAUAAAAUAGGAUCUUUACAAUAUAUUUUAUUGGUUUAAAUUGAUUUAAAGAUAAUGAUUAAUAGGGACAGUUGGGGGUAUUCAUAUUGGGUGGUUAGCGGUGAAAUGCUCGGAUCCAUUCAAGAUGAACUAAAGCGAAAGCAUUUACCAAGGAUGUUUUCAUUAAUCAAGAACGAAAGUUAAGGGAUCGAAGACGAUUAGAUACCGUCGUAGUCUUAACUGUAAACUAUGCCGACCAGGGAUAUGAGUUGUUAGGAGUAUAUGAAAGUAUACUCAAUUUCUUCUUAUGGACCUUGUGAGAAAUCAUAAGUGUUUGGGUUCUGGGGGGAGUAUGGUCGCAAGGCUGAAACUUAAAGGAAUUGACGGAGGGGCACCACCAGGAGUGGAGCGUGCGGCUUAAUUUGACCCAACACGGGAAAACUUACCAGGUCCAGACAUUAGAAGGAUUGACAGAUUGAUAGCUCUUUCAUGAUUUGAUGGGUGGUGGUGCAUGGCCGUUCUUAGUUGGUGGAGUGAUUUGUCUGGUUAAUUCCGAUAACGAACGAGACCUUUACCAUACUAACUAGUUAUAUAUAUACAUUAUUGUAUAUAUAGAUGAACUUCUUAGAGGGACUAUUGGUUUACAAACCAAAGGAAGUAAAGGCGAUAACAGGUCUGUGAUGCCCUUAGAUGUUCUGGGCUGCACGCGGGCUACAAUGAUAAGAUCAUCAAGUUAUUUUUAACGAUUUGCUUUACUGGAAGGUAUGGCUAAUCUUAAAGUCUUAUCGUGCUUGGGAUAGAUGAUUGCAAUUAUUCAUCUCAAACCAGGAAUUCCUAGUAAUCGUAGCUCAUCAGGCUGCGAUGAUUACGUCCCUGCCCCUUGUACACACCGCCCGUCGCUGCUACCGAUUGGAUGAUCCGGUGAAAUCCUCGGAUUGACGUGAUUAUCUAGCUGUAAGGUUAGAUAUUAUGUUGAGAAGUUGAUUAAACCUUAUCAUCUAGAGGAAGCAAAAGU